UGAUUGUCUAGGUGGCUAUAGAGAGAGGGAAACGCCUGGCUCCAUUCCGAACCCAGAAGCUAAGCCUCUCAUCGCUGAUAAUACUGAUCCUUGCAGGAUUGGAAACGUAGGUCGCUGCCUAGUUGAUCAAUUUUACU
RNAcentral lists this ribosomal RNA (137 nucleotides) under Sulfurimonas gotlandica GD1. Lineage: Bacteria; Pseudomonadati; Campylobacterota; Epsilonproteobacteria; Campylobacterales; Sulfurimonadaceae. The record is from RNAcentral.